CUUUUUCUUUCACCGGAGCUUGCUCCACCGAAAGAAAAGGAGUGGCGAACGGGUGAGUAACACGUGGGUAACCUGCCCAUCAGAAGGGGAUAACACUUGGAAACAGGUGCUAAUACCGUAUAACAGUAGAAACCGCAUGGUUUCUAUUUGAAAGGCGCUUUUGCGUCACUGAUGGAUGGACCCGCGGUGCAUUAGCUAGUUGGUGAGGUAACGGCUCACCAAGGCAACGAUGCAUAGCCGACCUGAGAGGGUGAUCGGCCACAUUGGGACUGAGACACGGCCCAAACUCCUACGGGAGGCAGCAGUAGGGAAUCUUCGGCAAUGGACGAAAGUCUGACCGAGCAACGCCGCGUGAGUGAAGAAGGUUUUCGGAUCGUAAAACUCUGUUGUUAGAGAAGAACAAGGAUGAGAGUAAAACGU
This 420-nucleotide ribosomal RNA is filed under the name Enterococcus malodoratus. RNAcentral describes it as "bacterial SSU rRNA". It matches the Rfam family "Bacterial small subunit ribosomal RNA", at positions 69 to 469 of the family's 1533-position model. The record is from RNAcentral. Lineage: Bacteria; Bacillati; Bacillota; Bacilli; Lactobacillales; Enterococcaceae.